Molecule: ribosomal RNA, 520 nt
Filed under: uncultured Planctomycetota bacterium
Lineage: Bacteria; Pseudomonadati; Planctomycetota
Description: bacterial SSU rRNA
Rfam family: Bacterial small subunit ribosomal RNA
Source: RNAcentral
CGUGACCGAGCGACGCCGCGUGCGGGACGAAGGCCCUUGGGUUGUAAACCGCUGUCGUAGAGGGGCAAGUGUAUGGGGGUACUCCCCUGUAUUUGAGCGAUUCUAGGAGGAGGGGGAGGCUAAGCUCGUGCCAGCAGCCGCGGUAAGACGAGCUCCCCGAACGUUAUUCGGUAUCACUGGGCUUAAAGAGUUCGUAGGCGGCUCGACAGGUGAGGUGUGAGAUCCCACGGCCUAACCGUGGAAUUGCGCUUCAAACCGUCGGGCUUGAGGGAUGCAGGGGUAAGCGGAACAGAUGGUGGAGCGGCGAAAUGCGUUGAUAUCAUCUGGAACACCGGUGGCGAAGGCGGCUUACUGGGCAUUCACUGACGCUGAGGAACGAAAGCUAGGGUAGCGAACGGGAUUAGAUACCCCGGUAGUCCUAGCCGUAAACGAUGAGCACUGGUCUGGGGGGACCCUCACAUCCUCCCGGACGUAGCGAAAGUGUUAAGUGCUCCGCCUGGGGAGUAUGGUCGCAAGGCUG